Molecule: ribosomal RNA, 1173 nt
Filed under: Triticum aestivum (bread wheat)
Lineage: Eukaryota; Viridiplantae; Streptophyta; Magnoliopsida; Poales; Poaceae
Description: partial small subunit ribosomal RNA
Source: RNAcentral
AUGACGGUGGCUGUGUGCCAUGUCAUGCCGGCGCUGGACGUCGCUCCUCCUCACACUCACACUCGCAUGCCGGCGCCGAUGACGCCCCCGCCGCGGCAGCUGGACAUGUGGAGCGCCAUCCAGGCCCCGGCCACCAAGCCCGAGCCGCCGGCGGUCAAGGCCAGGGCCGGCUACCCGAUGGCGACGGUGCGGCGGUCCAUGAGCCACGAGAGCCUGAGCCUCUGCACGGAGAGCCUCGGCUGCGAGACCGGCACCCGCGGCGACUUCCUCGACCUGGCGUCCCUCCUCUACGCGCCGCCACUGUCGUCCCACCAGAGCGAGGAUGCCGUCGCCCAAGAAGAAGAGCAGGAAGAGACGGCGGCCGGGGAGCUGAAGCUGAGCGCGGUGCAGUACCACCGCGCCCGGCCGCAGCGCGCGUUCCCGCCGCCGCUACCGUCCAUGUCGCGCCACCGCGGCGACGACGGCGGGCCGUGCUUGCGGGUGCGCCCGCACCGCCGUGACGGGCGCCUCGUGCUCGAGGCUGUGGCCGCGAAGCCCCAGGGGUACCUCCACGCGCAGCGCCAGGACGGCCGCCUCAAGCUCUGCUUCGUGGACUACUCUGCUUCGGACUCUGUCCUCGACCACCAGAAGCAGAGCAUGGUGCAACAGCAACAGCCAGGCCAAGAACAGAUGCUGCAAGAGAAGGAUGUUGAAGAAGUUGUCGACGACGAAGAAGAUGAAGUGGAGGAGGAGGGGGACGAGGUGGAGGUGGUGGACAGGGGAAUGAUGGUGGAGGUGGUGGCGGCGUCCGGCAAGGCGCAGCGGUGCUCCAGGAUCGUCAUCAACAAGUUCGUCGGCGGCGCUCCGGUCACCACCGACGACGUGAACACGAUCCCGUCCCCAUCGCGCAGCUUCAGAGCUACCGAGGACGAAUUAGCCGCUCCGACCGUGACGUCGGGGUUGCGCCGGGUGCCGUCGUCCACCACGACGCUGGCCGCCGCGGUGGCCGCCGCGUCCACUGGCAUGCAGUCCGACGAGGAGGACGAGGAAGAGGUUGAGGAGGAGAGCGCGUCGCUGCUGUUCACGUCGCGGGUGGGGGACAGGGAGGAGCUGAUGCAGAGCGUGCGGCGGUGCCGGCAGCUCCGGCAGAGGCCGCUCUUCAUCGUGGAGUCAUACUCCAUCAUCGCCGCCUGA